Molecule: RNA transcript, 4661 nt
Organism: Numida meleagris (helmeted guineafowl)
Lineage: Eukaryota; Metazoa; Chordata; Aves; Galliformes; Numididae
Gene name: mitogen-activated protein kinase 12-like
Exons: 13
Source: RefSeq, a predicted model, not a curated record
CUUGUAGUUUAAAGCCAUUCCCCCUUGUCCUAUCAGAGCACGUAAAAUGUCAUUCUUCCUCCUGCUUACAAGCUUCUUUCAAGUACUGGAAGGCUGCAGUGAGGUCUCCCUGGAACCUUCUCUUCUCCAGGCUGAACAAGCCCAUGGUGUGCACGCACCCGGAUGAAGGCCGGAGUGUACUUGCACUCAGCUCCAUAGCAAGGAUUCUCAGUUUACCUCAGCACAAUACCUAGCGUGGCACGCUGGGCCUGCAGGGAGCCCUGGGCUCACCACACAGCCAUCCAUCCACACUCCUGUCAGCUCCCACUCCCACCUCCCAGUGCCAGCUGUCCCUGCCAAGGCUGAUUUCAUGGAACUGGGGAGGUAUCUUGAGCUUUGCAGAACAAUAAAAUACACGUCACCCACCAGAUCCACAAACACAAGGCAGAGUGCAAGUGUGUCAUAGGGAACAGAUGGAUUUUGAGCAUGUCUUCGAGCAGCAGAAGCCUCACACCUCUUUCUCUGUGGCCAUAGCGAGGCACAGGCGCUGGAUGAGGCUGAGCGGCCACGGCUGCACCUCAGCUCUCUGGGCCUCUCGCCCCGCCGUGUCAGCGCUGUGAGGGAGCUGCCCUCGGCGUCCGCAUGGGCAGCGGCACAGCCCUGGCCACGCCGCCGCGGGGAGAGGGGCGGAAAGCAGAAGUGCUGGAGGCGCUGAGCCGCUGGAAGAGCUAACACGGAGGUCUGAGGGAAAGCCCCCGGAGCAGCGCUGCCACGCACCAUUCUUCCCGUGCCCAGCACCUGCCGACCCAUCGCCUUUCCAGGCGGCCAGCCCGCCGGGCACCGCGCGUCUCCUCCCGCACUCGGGGGCACAGAGGGGCACUCAGCAGAGGGCAGGGCGCUGGGCCAGGCGGUGCCCCCAGCAGAGCACGGCCCUGCCGGGGGAGCGGGGCAGAGGCGGGCGGGAGGGAGGCGCGGAGGGAGCGCGGCCAAGCCCGGCCCCUCGGCUGCUCAGCCCGGCCCGGCGCUCGGCGCUCCCCCCGGGCUCUUUGUUGGAGGUGGCGGCAGGGGGCCGCGCGCUAUGUCCUCCCCCAGGAACGGCUUCUACCGGCAGGAGAUCACCAAGACGCUCUGGGAAGUACGGGACCGCUACCGGGACCUGCAGCCCGUGGGCUCCGGCGCCUACGGAACCGUCUGCUCCGCUGUGGAUGGAAGAAGCGGCACCAAAGUGGCCAUUAAGAAGCUGUACCGCCCCUUUCAGUCCCAGAUCCUUGCCAAGAGAGCCUACCGAGAGCUGCGCCUCCUGAAGCACAUGAAGCACGAAAACGUCAUUGGAAUAUUGGAUGUAUUCACACCAGAUGUCACCCUGGAUAAAUUUAAUGGCUUCUACCUCGUCAUGCCAUUUAUGGGAACAGACUUAAGUAAGAUAAUGAAGCAUGAGAAACUCACUGAGGACCGAAUCCAGUUCUUGGUGUAUCAGAUGUUAAAAGGCUUAAAGUAUAUUCACUCGUCUGGCAUAAUUCACAGGGAUCUAAAGCCUGGAAACCUGGCAGUAAAUGAAGACUGUGAAUUGAAGAUCCUGGAUUUUGGAUUGGCCAGGCAUACAGACAGUGAGAUGACAGGUUACGUGGUUACAAGGUGGUACAGAGCCCCAGAGGUCAUCCUUAAUUGGAUGCAUUACACACAAACAGUUGACAUCUGGUCUGUGGGCUGUAUAAUGGCAGAAAUGAUAACGGGGAGGCCUCUGUUCAGGGGAAACGACCAUCUGGACCAACUCACAGAAAUAAUGAAAAUAACGGGUACACCAAGUCAAGAUUUUGUGCAAAAACUGAAGAGUCAGGAAGCAAAAAACUAUAUCAAAAGCCUUCCAAAAGUCCAGAAGAAAGAUUUUGCAUCCGUCUUGAAGCAUGCGAGUCCUUUGGUGCAUUUUGAUAAUCUCACAGUGGACCUGAUCCAAAAUCCACCGGCAAGGAACAUAGAAGAUGUUCAUGGAUUUCCUGGAUUGUUUUGCUGUAAACCUUUUGGAGAACAUGCUGGUGCUGGAUGCGGAGGAGCGAGUCACAGCAGCCGAGGCUUUGAUGCAUCCUUACUUUGAACCAAUUCACGAUCCUGAGGAAGAAAUUGUAGCUGAGAAAUACGAUGAUACAUUUGAUAACAUGGAUCUACCUCUGGAUGAGUGGAAGCGUAUUACAUAUAAAGAGAUACUGAACUUCAAGCCACCACAAACAUCAGAGUCAAAGGAGACAGCAGUGUAAUUGUAUGACUUGGUCUUUUCAGAACUCAGAAGAAAGCAGGAAAGUUGUAAAUGUUUGUAAUAUUUCAGGUGUAUAAAACUUUUAUAAAUAAACUGGAUGUAAUCUAUUUCAUCUGCACUGUAAGAAAGAGCAGUGUCUUUUACUGUGCAUGUGGAAAUGCGAUGCCUCUGGGAGCAGCCCCUCAGAACUGUCCAGAAGCUGAUUUCUGCCCACAGUUUCUCCCCUCCGCACAAAAGGAUUCAGUCUCUGAUAACUCUGGAAAGAGCAGGUGGGACCAAUUCUUCAAAUCAGAAAUCACAUGAGAGUACAAGUUACCACUGUGAACAAGCUGAGACACAGAGUAUGUCAAUGAUAUGCAGUGUCUGCUCUCUGCUCUCCAGAGCUAUUGAACUAUCUUGAAUGUGAGAGGUAUCAAUGGAACUUUCUCUGGAAUAUUUUACCUUGAUGAGAUAUCUGGGGAGGCUGAUCCGCUUCUGUGACCUCAGCUAGUGAGGAGCAGAGACACAGCCUGAAUGGAUGCAUUUCUUUUGUCCUUUGUGAAAGCAGAAGAUCCUGAGCUCCAUCCAGGUCUGAAAAACUUAUGCAAGAGGCAAGAAACAGGCAAGUGUCAGUGUCCUAGAGAUUUUUAAGUGACCAGUGUAGUAGGAUGAGAUUUCCCAAGUGCAUUAGGUGAGCAGCCAUUAGGUAAACAAUCACUUUCAAGAGUCACAAUAUUUUUAUCUCAAUGCAGUGCAGCCUCUUUGUAUAACAGAGCAGGGAUUUCCAGGGAGAAACUUUUUUAAAGACUUUCUCAAACUCUAUAAGCUUUCUAGCAUCUUCUUUCUGAAAUAAUCAUUGAAAAUAUCCAUCUUUUCAGAGGAUGUACUGACUAGGUAACCAGCAGUGCUGAUCUUAGAAAUACAGCUGCAUGCAGGUGACGUUAUAGAAAAUUAAGUGAGGAUAAAUACAUGCUGCCUGCAGCAGGCUCUUGUACAGGCGUGUCGCCAGGUGCAGAAUCACAGCCAUUCUUUUUUGGAGCCUUCUGGAGUCAUCUCACUUUGGGGGGAACCUUCCAACCUUCUGCUGGGAGGUGUCUUACCAGAAGGAGUCAGAUUCCUGAUGAGCUACAAUGGGAUGUCAGAUGCUUUAUGAGCUUCUCUUACUGUCUGGGUUCAUUCAUUGCGUUUUCCCAGGUGCAUAGUUCAUAGUAACCUCUCAGAGGUAGGAAAAAGAAAUUGGCAAAUCUUUGGUGAAGAAUUUCCUUCUGAAAUCACUUCUCUUUGUUAGAGGUCCUUUUUAAAAUUGACUGUUUCCCAAAGCAAUCUGCUGUAGUUUGUUGCCACUAAGCGCAGUGGUUGUGAAGGAAGACAUUUGGUAUUAGCAGGUAAUAACUGAAAAAGAAUUAAGAAAUUAGGUGUGGUUGGUGGGCUGUUGUUCUUUUUUUUUGCUUUCAUAACCAGUUUAAAGCAGACAUUUAAUCAAGGCACAGUUGUUCUGUUUCUUUCAGUGAAUGUUUUACUUAAACACCUGUAAAUAGUACCAUUUGUUUAAAAAUUACUCAUGAUGGGCAUUGAUUAGUGGAGACCUAGAGAGCAAAUGGUAACAGAAACCUAGAAUUGUUGAUGUAUUUGACAAGACAUUAAAAAGUGUAGUUUCAGGAAUGCAUGAAACAAAGCAGGGAAUGUAAUUUGAAGCAAAACAUUCUUCCACUGUAGAGGUCACUGAGGAAGGCACGCUUUCCCCAUUUUGCACUAUUGACUUCCUGCUUGGACUACACUUUCAUGUGCAAUAGGAACUUUAUUUUUCACUUACUGUUUUUUAGGGUCGUGCCCUAUCGUCCUCUUAAAAGUCAUGGGAGAAAAGUGCCUAUUGAAGAUGGUGGGUUUUGAUAGCCUAGCUUGUUGCAGAUGUCGAGUGGCUGAGGUGAACUUGCCUCUUGUAGUACUAUAGAAGCCACAGGCUUCUGGAGACAUAAGGAGAUGGCAUUUGUUUUUUCUGUCUGUUUGGGGAUCACAGAACUCUUGAAGUAACUGAAGAACAGAGCUCGAUGCGUGUGCCAGAAGAGACAGAAGAGCUGCUGCGCCGCCUAGUCAGUAAACACUACAGAAGGUAAAUAACAAACAUGAAAAGUUUGUUGCGUCUUGGCAUGAUGUUUCUGUGAAGAGAUUGGAAUCUGAUGAAACUGCUCAAAAAAGCAAUAGGAAUUUUUAGUAUGAGGAGCUCGUUAAAAGAAAUGUGAGGUGAAAGCAGAAAUAUUUUGCAUGGGAGGCAGCUGCUGUUUGAAAGCGAGCAACAUUUCCCAGGAUUUUAUUUGCUGUUUCUACUGGUGCUUAGCAACUCAGGAAUAAGAACCCAAUUUCUGUUUGCCUUAAAGACAAAUGUAAAUAUGUUCUGCAUGUACUUGAAAUGUAUUGUGAAAAAUAAAGGUUGGGUUUUGGGGUUUUUUAUGCA